GGCCGGUUAGCUCAGCUGUUUAGAGCGUGGUGCUAAUAACGCCAAGGUCCUGGGUUCGAUCCUCAUACUGGCCA
Molecule: transfer RNA, 74 nt
Filed under: Petromyzon marinus (sea lamprey)
Lineage: Eukaryota; Metazoa; Chordata; Hyperoartia; Petromyzontiformes; Petromyzontidae
Description: tRNA-Ile (AAT) (tRNA-Ile-AAT-35-1)
Rfam family: tRNA
About the family: Transfer RNA (tRNA) molecules are approximately 80 nucleotides in length. Their secondary structure includes four short double-helical elements and three loops (D, anti-codon, and T loops). Further hydrogen bonds mediate the characteristic L-shaped molecular structure. tRNAs have two regions of fundamental functional importance: the anti-codon, which is responsible for specific mRNA codon recognition, and the 3' end, to which the tRNAs corresponding amino acid is attached (by aminoacyl-tRNA synthetases). tRNAs cope with the degeneracy of the genetic code in two manners: having more than one tRNA (with a specific anti-codon) for a particular amino acid; and 'wobble' base-pairing, i.e. permitting non-standard base-pairing at the 3rd anti-codon position.
Source: RNAcentral